CUGACUGUCUGCAAACUUGUCUAAUUUGUUUCACUUUGCUGCUGUCUUUACAGCUUCUGCUUAUUUCCUCUGCCUGCACCUUAUAUUUGUUGUGUUUAUCGAGACCUGGCCUGUCUCUGCCUCGUUGAAGACAAAUGGACACAAGUACUGGUUGCUGUUGGUUUGUUUGGUUUGCUCAGUCUGAGCGUGCUGCAGAGCACUUGACCACUGCAGCAGUCAAGCAUGCUGUAUAUUGGGCAGUGCCAGGAAUUGCGAGAUCGAGACAGGCUGCCACUAGAAGUUCCUUGGGCCAGAUAAGGGAGGCAGCUUUUGCAUCUGCAACAGAACAUUGGUGGAUGUUGUGUGAAGCACUUUCUCCAUGCUUUUUCACUACCUGAGCAAGGUAACUUUCUUGGUGCUUCAUCACGCAAUUUAUACAAUCAACUUCCAUUAAUUCUACCCUCACGAGACUGACGGGUCGAAUUAAGAUGCAAAAACCUGCUGAAGCACCGUUGAUUCAUUUGGCAAUAUGUGCUUGAGUAACACGCCUCUGAAACGAAUGUGCAUCAAAUUUCUAUUUGUCCACAGUAUAAAACUAAAGUAGAAAUGACUUAACUCCAAACCAAAGUAGAAACCUACGCGUACCUCAUUUUUUAGAAUGCCAGCUGAUUUUCCAAAGCCAGCUUCGCCGUAUUACAGCCAUGAUAUGUGGUAAAGCAUAUGAAUGGUGCAACCACGGUUUUAGUUUCGCAAUCGAUUGCACAGCUAGGCAAUUUUCGUCUCAAUGUCCUUCGAAAACAAAAAGUGUUCGUUAGAAUCAGAUAAGUACCACAAUCGGACAUUGUCAGCUACCGUUACUGCUUGAAAAUCUUUCUCGGGUGGGUCAAAAAUAGGCAUUUCAGAGAGAUGGCAUUUGUUUAACGCAUUCACUGUCCCCUAAGCUCUACUGAGACAUGGGCUGCCACUAAAAGGGGUCAUUAUUGGGGUCUGGUCAAGUUUGCAUUAUCCGGCGAAUGCCAGUUUUAGGAUCGAAAUGAUGAAUGUUUAAUUCCAUAGAAAUGCAUGGGCGUCGGCCAGGUUCGAAUUAACUGAAAAAAUUAAGUUAACUGGAGUCAGAUUAUUGGAAG
This is a non-coding RNA of Dermacentor andersoni, 1106 nucleotides long. Lineage: Eukaryota; Metazoa; Arthropoda; Arachnida; Ixodida; Ixodidae. The record is from RefSeq and is a predicted model, not a curated record.